RNAcentral lists this ribosomal RNA (1410 nucleotides) under metagenome. Its description in RNAcentral is "bacterial LSU rRNA". It matches the Rfam family "Bacterial large subunit ribosomal RNA", at positions 1537 to 2925 of the family's 2925-position model. The record is from RNAcentral.
AAAAUCCGCAAUCCCGUUAACGCCGAGAUGUGAUGGGGAGGCCGCAAGGCCAUAAACGGGCUGAUCCCACGCUGCCGAGGAAAGCCUCGUAGCGAGUCAAUAUGAUGUCCGUACCGCAAACCGACACAGGUAGGUGGGUGGAAUACACCAAGGGGCGUGAGAGAACACUCCCUAAGGAACUAUGCAAUUUAGCCCCGUAACUUCGGGAGAAGGGGUGCCACGAGUAGGUAAGUCUGUACAAGGCAAGCUGAACGUGGUUGCAAUAAAGUGGCUCUAGCGACUGUUUACCAAAAACACAGGACUCUGCAAACACGAUAGUGGAUGUAUAGGGUCUGACGCCUGCCCGGUGCUGGAAGGUUAACCGGAGGAGUUAGCCGCAAGGCAAAGCUUUGAAGGGAAGCCCCAGUAAACGGCGGCCGUAACUAUAACGGUCCUAAGGUAGCGAAAUUCCUUGUCGGGUAAGUUCCGACCUGCAUGAAUGGCGCAACGACUGGAGCGCUGUCUCAGGGAGUGACUCAGCGAAUUUGUUGUUCCGGUGAAGAAGCCGGGUGCCCGCAACUAGACGGAAAGACCCUGUGCACCUUUACUACACCUUGACAUUGGGUGUUGGAAGGAUCUGUGUAGGAUAGGUGGGAGGCUGUGAGACUUGGCCGCUAGGUCAGGUGGAGCCGACGUUGAAAUACCACCCUGAUUGUUCUGAUAUUCUAACCUGGCCCUGUGAUCCAGGGCAGAGACAGUGUCUGGCGGGUAGUUUGACUGGGGCGGUCGCCUCCCAAAAGGUAACGGAGGCGCCCAAAGGUUCCCUCAGGCUGGUCGGUAAUCAGCCGUCGAGUGUAAAGGCAGAAGGGAGCUUGACUGCGAGAGCGACAGUUCGAGCAGAGACGAAAGUCGGGCUUAGUGAUCCGGUGGUUCUGCGUGGAAGGGCCAUCGCUCAACGGACAAAAGGUACGCCGGGGAUAACAGGCUGAUCUCCCCCAAGAGUUCACAUCGACGGGGAGGUUUGGCACCUCGAUGUCGACUCAUCGCAUCCUGGGGCUGAAGCUGGUCCCAAGGGUUAGGCUGUUCGCCUAUUAAAGCGGUACGAGAGUUGGGUUCAGAACGUCGUGAGACAGUUCGGUCCCUAUCUGUUGUGGGCGGAGGAGAGUUGAGAGGGGCGUUCACUAGUACGAGAGGACUGUGAAGGAUGAACCUCUGGUGUGCCGGUUGUCGUGCCAACGGCAGUGCCGGGUAGCUAUGUUCAGUUGGGAUAACCGCUGAAAGCAUCUAGCGGGAAGCCUGCCUCAAGAUAAGCUCUCCCGGGGCGCAAGCCCCCUAAAGGACACUUGUAGACUACGAGUUUGAUAGGCUGGGUGUGGAAGGCUCGUAAGGGCUGUAGCUAACCAGUACUAAUCGUCCGUGCGGCUUAACAUG